This 549-nucleotide ribosomal RNA is filed under the name uncultured Glomus. RNAcentral's name for it is "SSU rRNA". It matches the Rfam family "Eukaryotic small subunit ribosomal RNA", at positions 548 to 1098 of the family's 1831-position model. The record is from RNAcentral. Lineage: Eukaryota; Fungi; Glomeromycota; Glomeromycetes; Glomerales; Glomeraceae.
UUGGAGGGCAAGUCUGGUGCCAGCAGCCGCGGUAAUUCCAGCUCCAAUAGCGUAUAUUAAAGUUGUUGCAGUUAAAAAGCUCGUAGUUGAAUUUCGGGGUUAGUAGGUUGGUCGUGCCUCAGGUAUGUACUGAUCUCACUGAUUCCUCCUUCCUGAUGAACCGUAAUGCCAUUAAUUUGGUGUUGCGGGGAAUCUGGACUGUUACUUUGAAAAAAUUAGAGUGUUUAAAGCAGGCUAACGCUUGAAUACAUUAGCAUGGAAUAAUGAAAUAGGACGUUCGAUCCUAUUUUGUUGGUUUCUAGGAUUGACGUAAUGAUUAAUAGGGAUAGUUGGGGGCAUUAGUAUUCAAUUGUCAGAGGUGAAAUUCUUGGAUUUAUUGAAGACUAACUACUGCGAAAGCAUUUGCCAAGGAUGUUUUCAUUAAUCAAGAACGAAAGUUAGGGGAUCGAAGACGAUCAGAUACCGUCGUAGUCUUAACCAUAAACUAUGCCGACUAGGGAUCGGAUGAUGUUAAUUUUAUAAUGACUCAUUCGGCGCCUUACGGGAAAC